GGCGGCAGGGUAGUCUAGUGGUUAGAGUGUAGAGGCGGCAGGGUAGUCUAGUGGUUAGAGUGUAGAGGGGGCAGGGUAGCCUAGUGGUUAGAGUGUAGAGGCGGCAGGAUAGCCUAGUGGUUAGAGUGUAGAGGCGGCAGGGUAGCCUAGUGGUUAGAGUGUAGAGGCGGCAGGGUAGCCUAGUGGUUAGAGUGUAGAGGCGGCAGGUAGCCUAGUGGUUAGAGUGUAGAGGCGGCAGGGUAGCCUAGUGGUUAGAGUGUAGAGGCGGCAGGUAGCCUAGUGGUUAGAGUGUAGAGGCGGCAGGGUAGCCUAGUGGUUAGAGUGUAGAGGCGGCAGGUUAGCCUAGUGGUUAGAGUGUAGAGGCAGCAGGGUAGUCUAGUGGUUAGAGUGUAGAGGGGGCAGGGUAGCCUAGUGGUUAGAGUGUAGAGGCGGCAGGGUAGCCUAGUGGUUAGAGUGUAGAGGGGGCAGGGUAGCCUAGUGGUUAGAGUGUAGAGGCGGCAGGUAGCCUAGUGGUUAGAGUGUAGAGGCGGCAGGGUAGCCUAGUGGUUAGAGUGUAGAGGCGGCAGGGUAGCCUAGUGGUUAAAGUGUAGAGGCGGC
Long non-coding RNA from Oncorhynchus tshawytscha (Chinook salmon), 597 nucleotides. The record is from Ensembl. NCBI's taxonomy places the organism in Eukaryota, Metazoa, Chordata, Actinopteri, Salmoniformes, Salmonidae.